RNAcentral lists this long non-coding RNA (1038 nucleotides) under Homo sapiens (human). RNAcentral's name for it is "non-protein coding lnc-TBC1D3F-1:6". The record is from RNAcentral. Lineage: Eukaryota; Metazoa; Chordata; Mammalia; Primates; Hominidae.
GGAAUGUUUAAAAGCCAAUUUUGCCUUAUGUAUUGAUUUUAGAACCUUAUUUGUAGCAAUUUAUUGAAAAAAAAAAAACGUAUUUGAAACUUUGACAGCAACUGUGGUGCUGCUGCAGCGAGGUCACUGACAGCUCUAAUGGCCCCUUUAUUAUCUCUUUCCUGUUUCUGGGCAAACCUCUUAGCCAUUCGUUCCUGGUUAACUCGGAAACACAUCCAGAGGCUGCAUGCAGCUGCCACAGUCAUCAAGCGUGCAUGGCAGAAGUGGAGAAUCAGAAUGGCCUGCCUUGCUGCUAAAGAGCUGGAUGGUGUGGAAGAAAAACACUUCUCUCAAGCUCCCUGUUCCCUGAGCACCUCGCCGCUGCAGACCAGGCUCCUGGAGGCAAUAAUCCGCCUCUGGCCCCUGGGACUGGUCCUGGCCAAUACGGCUAUGGGUGUAGGCAGCUUUCAGAGGAAAUUAGUGGUCUGGGCUUGCCUCCAGCUCCCCAGGGGCAGCCCCAGUAGCUACACUGUCCAGACAGCACAAGACCAGGCUGGUGUCACGUCCAUCCGAGCGCUGCCUCAGGGAUCGAUAAAGUUUCACUGCAGAAAGUCUCCACUGCGGUAUGCUGACAUCUGCCCUGAACCUUCACCCUACAGCAUUACAGGCUUUAAUCAGAUUCUGCUGGAAAGACACAGGCUGAUCCACGUGACCUCUUCUGCCUUCACUGGGCUGGGGUGAUCCUUGGUGCCUUUGUUUCCACAAGGCCUUUUCCUGCCCCCUGCCUUGCCAAAGACAUUUAAUCAGCACACAGCUGCCAGACUAUUCCCACAGUGCUCCAAAUGCACAUGAACAACAGUGACGGCUCCAGCCUUCGACCCAGAGCCCCGUGCCCAGUGCGUCAGUGGGCCUGGGGUUCCAGGCUACAUCAAGCACUGAUGGUGUCAGGGCUGGUAGUUACCAAAUCAGGGUUAAGAAACAUCAGGGCCACAUUUCACUACCUUCACAGAUCAAACUCAGCAGCAGUCAUGACUGUCUGUCACUACACUGGGGAUCCCA